ACCUGGACACACACACACACACACACACCUUUUACUUUAAAUACACUCUGGACAUCUGAUCGACUGGCUGUUCCAUCCUCACACAUGAAAACAUUUAUCCAGAAUUUCUCUUUUUCAUUGAUCCGAUUUGAUUGAGCUGCUUCAUAAACAGAAAAAUUCAGUAACAGAGGCUGACAGAUUCCUGAUAGCUGGGAUCAGAGCCGGCCCAAGAUAUAUGCAAGUUAAAUAUCUGGACCACCAGGGGGCUCCAAAGAGCACCAGCUAGCAUAAUAAAAUAUAUAUAUUGAAAAUAACAUUGGAUAGUACAAACUAAAUGCUAUUAAAACAAAAAUGUCUAAAAUGUUUUUAUAGUUAGUACACAUAUGACAAAUUAAUCCCGUAUAACAUGUCAAACUUGUUAACUGACUGUAAAUUUAAUGUUUAUCAGCUGAUGUUACUUAUAAAUAACUAAAAUAAAACCACACACUUAAUAUUCUGCAUCUCAAAAUCUUUUUUUUUUGUUUGCUGCUCUCAUAAAGUUAAAUUUAAUAGUCAUGUUAAAAGCUAUAACACUGGCAUGAUGUAAGCUAAUUACAAAGGAUGCUAAUUGUGGUAGGGAUGUUAAACAUACAGAGUAGUGUAGAAAUGAUGAAGCAUGUUGGUAAAGGCGAAUGGGGGCCCGGAAUGACAAUCUACUUUGGGCCCCAAAAAGGCUUUGGCCGGCCCUGGCUGGGCUGUAACAGAUACUCAGAGUGUGUUUUAGUCCAGAGCCGUCCUGUGGUCACAUUAGCAGCAGCGUGGUGUGUGUUGGAGCGCGCUCAGUGAGAUCAGUGUCAGCGGGUUGGAAGUGAGCGCAGGCGGCGGCCAUAAUGCGCUCAUUCAGGUCCGACCAGCACCAAUCUUGUGACCCAGAACAACGGACGCCAUUAUCUCUGUACGGCUCUCUGCAUGAUGCUGAGAACCGUUCUGUUUCUAACAGACACACACACACACACACACACACACACACACACAGUCUGAGGGCAUCUAUACUCCCUCAGCAUCACUCCAACACCUUCUAACCAGAUUAAGUUGUGACAGAGUUUUCUGCAGCAGCAGAAAUGAUGAUGGCGGCCUGGUGUUGGUGCGGCGGCGGCGUGUGGACGGCUGUGACGUGUUUUGGACUCUGGGAAGUGGGACAGCGUUGUGUCCUGACACGGCAUCGCCAGCGGCCAGAGAGCGAUGGGCCUCCAGGGAAAACAAUGCCGGAACCUGAGAAACAACAGGAACUUCACCGAAGGAGCAAAAACAACAACAACCAGGCCUUUAAGCGUUUUCUUACCUUGGCUUCCCACUCCAUCCCAGCUACGGAGAUUCCCAGCAGCAGGAUGACGGUCAGCGUCCCGACGAUGCG
Xiphophorus maculatus (southern platyfish) is the source of this 1372-nucleotide long non-coding RNA. RefSeq lists it as uncharacterized. The transcript has 3 exons. The record is from RefSeq and is a predicted model, not a curated record. NCBI's taxonomy places the organism in Eukaryota, Metazoa, Chordata, Actinopteri, Cyprinodontiformes, Poeciliidae.